This 5006-nucleotide long non-coding RNA is filed under the name Zostera marina. Its description in RNAcentral is "long non-coding RNA (ZMAR_LNC004403)". The record is from RNAcentral. Lineage: Eukaryota; Viridiplantae; Streptophyta; Magnoliopsida; Alismatales; Zosteraceae.
AAACGUUCUGAAUGAACUGCUGCAUGAGAAUCACGUCACCGUUGAUAUCAACGAGAUGUUUGAACAUUCCGUUAUGCAGUUCACGGAAUCCCGGCCAUCCUCGAAAGUCGUCGAGGCAGAGUAUGACUGUGUCGAGAUCGCGUGUGAGGUUAGCCAUGUGAAGAGCCGAUGCGCCCAAGAACGUUCCGACUUCGAUGAUGGUCUUGGGUUGCGUAGACUCCACGAGUUCGGCGAAGACGGUGGCAGUGGAGCCCCAACCCCGGACACGGCGAGUAAGAAGUGCUGGUGCUACGUGCGGUGGGGGGAAAUUCUCGUAUGGGGUGAUGUUGUUGUAGAUUUUAUUGAGGAGCAUGGGACGGAUCUCUGAUGGGGGAAUUCGCGGACUGCAGUCUGUUCGGAAUUGAGAGUGUUGGUCGGUUUGAUCGGAUUUCAAUUCCGGCGACUUCGGCUGAGUAGUGGAGAAAAAUCCGAUGGAGUAGCCGACGAUGAAGAUGGCCAAAAAGCCCAAUAACUCCAGUGGUUUCGACACCGUCAGUUUCCUUCUGCCGAUCAUCUCUUCGGAUUUCAGUUCUGGACUGCACUUUCUUUGAACUUUAAUUAUCCAUCUCUAUAGAUUAUUCUAUUUGACUAAUUAUUAAAGUAAUUAAUCUAACCAUUUAAAAUAAAACAAGGGUCCAUUUAUUUGUCCAUGUUACUAUUGAAUUUCAGUCAGAUUCGGAUACCAGGGCAUGUAUAUCGGUCGAUAUCCGAGCCAAAUCUGGAUAAUAUCCGGAUAAUCUGAAUCUGUUCGAAUAAUAUCCAGAUAAAAAAAAUCUGAAUUUGAAUAAAUUUUGGAUAUUCGAAAAAUCGGAUAACAUUUUAUAAAAAUCUUAAAAUAUAAAUAUAAAAUCACCCUUAAUAAAGUUAAUUAAUAGUCAAUUAAUCACCUUAAAAUUCGGAUAUCCGAAGGUCAAUUUAUAUUUAUUCAGAUAUUCGAAUCCGAAAUUAUCAAUCCGAAUUCGAAUUUUAAUGGCAGAUAUUCGGAUCCGUCUGGAUGAUUUUCGGAUAUCAUUUUUGGUAUCCGAAUUAGGAUCCGGAAUCCGAAAAUUCGAAAACAGAUACGAGUACGGAUUUCGGUAUAUCGCUUACUAUUGAUACGGAUUUCGCACUCUUAGUUAAAAGAAUUUUUUGCAUAACGGUAGAUAGGGGUAAAACCGGGACGAAUCGCAGACGGGGCGGGCAUGUCCCAUGAUCUGCCUCAGUUAGGACGACCGGGACGAGUCAAACAUAUUGACCACUGGUCCGGUUUCUGCCCCGGAUCUGAUGCUCGGGGUGUGGAACGGGAGGAAUCUGGGGUAACCUGCUUGAGUUUCGCUCUGUCUCGGAAUAUGACCGAAGUAAUAGGGCGAAAUUUUAAAAACAGGACAGAAUAUAUGUCCCGACCCCAGUUACCACCGUCACCCAUAACGGUAGAUAUCUUUUUACAAGAUGUAGAAAACACGUCUAGUCCGAUAUAAUCUGUAGUCGUUCAUGUCUCGUCUUUCGACUUCUACUAUUCAAAUUCAAAGGUAACUGGGUAAUCGGAUAACAAACACCCAAUACACCCGAUACCCAAAAUUCUGUUAAAAUAAUUGACAGAAAAUAUAUAAAAAGCAGCAAGGACGGUUGGGUGGUUAAUCCAAUUUUCAUUUUCUGUUCUGUAAGUUUGAUCCUUUCUAACUCUUGCUCAAUUCCCGACUCGAAGUUCUCUUCGUUUUCGUUUCUGCAAAUUCUAUUUUUGGUAAUCUUUUCUUUUGAAUUUACUCUGUUUCCAGGUAUCAAUUCUAUCUUGUCGUCGUCGUUUUCAGAUUCUGAUCAUUCUAUUCUAUUGUUAAAUCUUAGAAUUUGUUCAUUUCAUAUUCUAAUUCUGAUCAUUCUGACCAAUUUUGUUCGUUUCAUAUUCUAAUUCAAUGUCUUUAAUAAGUAGUUCGACAUACUUAGUUACUUGUCAAUUCAGAUUCUAUUCAGUUUGUUCUUUGUUAUAAUUGUAAAUCCAAUUCUAGACACUUGUCUGAGUUAAAUCAUUUUGAUAAGGAUGAGAUUACAUUCAUAUAGCAAUUGAUAAUGCUAAAUGGUAUACAUAAAUUCGUAUUUAUUUUCGAAUUCAAAUAUGUCUAAUCGAAUUCGAAUUUGUGGAUCUCGAAUCUGGAUUCGGAUACCAAAAAUGAUAUUCGAAAAUUAUCCAAACAGAAUCUGAAUUCGAUUGAUAAUCUGAAUUCAGUUGAUAAUUUCAUAUUCGGAUAUCCGAAUAAAUAUAAAUUAACUUAUGAAUAUCCGGAUUUUAGGAUGAUUAAUUAAUUAACUUUAUUAAAAGUGAUUUUAUACUUUUAUAAUUUUAUUGACAAAAUACCGAGCGUUCCCCCUUGCAGACAAAAUCCCUAGCGAAGUGAAGUUCACUCGUUCGCCCGGUGCGAACGAGCGAGGUCACCCCAGAUCAGUUGCACUCCACGCCUUACCUCCAGAUCAAAUCUCCUCCCUAACCUCUUUUUUAACUGGAUCGAAUGACCUCGGCUCCACGCCUGAUUACAACCGAGCGAACACCCAGUGACCGCGAGUGAGAUCAUUUCGCAAGCAACAGUUCUCCACUUCCGAUGAGCGACAGAUACAACUACCAGAAAAUAGGAGGAAAUCUCGCUAUUGGUUUUUGACCUACAAGCCGAGGACUAGCACGCUACAUCUAUUCCAUACAUCUUAUCUACUUUUAGUUGUUUAGUUAAUUGGUUUGUAAUUUCUUUAUUUUCUAUUUAAUCUAAAUCGCUUUUGAAAAAUAUAUAUAUAUAUAUAUAUUUUAAAAUUUUUAUAAAAAAGUUAUCCGGAUUCAGAUUCAGGGUUAGAGUUAGGAUUCUGAUUUUUCAGAUAUCCGAAAAUUUAUUAUUGUUCAGACGAAUUCAAAUUAUCCGGAUUUAGAUUCGGAUACCAGGAUAUCUGAACCGAAUCCGAUCAAUAUACAGGCCUAAUGAUGCCCAUACCCAAGGAUUGGGCCAGGAAUCGAUCAGGCCUGGGAACCUUAAGUCCACAACCUACAUGCCCAAUGGUCUCGCGAUCACUAUAAUUACCCCCAAGGAUGAAGGGGAGAAGAUCUUUUGCCACUUUGAAAACCUAGGAAGUAGGAGAGCUUGAGUGAUUGACGAUCGAGCUAAUCAAUGGAGUUAGCUGGAGUACUAGUUAACAAACAUUAUGUAGAAUCAAGAUUGCAAUACGUAUUAUAUUUUGAUAAUCAUAAUUAAUUAACUUUAUUUACACAAUUGAUCAUAUAUGGUGAAAUCAAUAUUCGAAAUUAGAAUCAUAUUUGUACUCUCAAUUUAAAUGACCAUAGUCAAAAUAUAGAUCAAAGUCAAAAGUCUAAAUCAAUUUACAAAGUCUAUAAAAGAAUUCAUUUCGUCCACUCAGAUUUCAAAUCUCUUUAAAACUUCCAAACUUCCAAAAUUUUUCAAAGUUGUUCUAGUGUUGAAGCUUUCUGAAGCUCACAUCUUCUUUUAAUCUUAUUCAAGUAAGUAAAAUGUGAGAUUUUUCUUUGGAUUUCUAUUCUAUUACCAUCUUCUAACGUUCUUGGUUGAAAUACUUGUCUUAAGACUAUUAAAGUGUAAGAGAAAGGUUUUUGAGUUUAAGCAAAAUGUUUAAGGUUGAUUUUAUAAAGUUAUCGAAAAGACUAUCAGUUGCAAGUUUCCUAUAAAACUUAAAGGUUUGUAAACGAUUGUAGUGUUGAACCCGUGGUGUUGUAUAUAAACUAUUUAACUAUAUGCAAGUUGUACCCACUCCAUGUGGUUGGUUCCUCAAAUUUAAUAAUGUUGUUGGACCAACCAAAUUCAAUACCACAAUGGGUCCAAAGAAAACUUAUAGAAACUAAACAAAUCCAAAAAUUGAUUCAGCAGAAAGGUGAGAAAGUAGCGAGAUUGGAUCUGGUCUCAGAAACUAUUAAAGUUCAAGUUAAAAUUUUAAUUUAUACAUUUUCAAUUAAAUUUGUUUGACAAUAUAUUAUAUGGCUCUAGUAUAUCAUUUGAUCGAUAAUUUUUCUUUUUGUCACGUUCUGGUCAUAUUUUGAGAAAUAGAUUUAGGGGCAACAUUCUCGUCUAUAUUUAUCAUUAUACAGAGAUAUUAACUCAAUUAAUCACAGUAUCUAUUAAAGUUUUUAAAAAUUUAAAAUUCGAAUCUGGUUAUGUAUAUUUUCAUUAAAUUAUAAAAAAAUUAAUAGAUUUAAAAAUCGAGAAAAUUACAAAGAAAGUCAUUAUAUACUUGAAAAUUACAAAAUGACAUUUAAUUAUCUAACUGGUAUAUUUUUUAUUACACAAAUAUUUAUUUUGGCGGGAAGCAAGAUAUUUAUUUGAUAUUUUAUUACACAAAUACCGUUUACCGUUUGGUGAAGAAAGAAACAAGACUACAUCACUUUUUUGGUGGUAGGACCCAAUGCUGACCGUGGGGUUGCACUUUGAGGCCCUUCUCGUCGGCGAAGAGAAUAAUCGCCCUCCGAACACCGUAAUCAUCCACAGCCAAAUUAUAGUCAUGGCCGAACAUAACACCGCCGUGAGCAACCAACGGCCAGGCCAGAUUGAUAUCGGCCCAAGCAGAAUGGAAGUCGUGACCAGCAUCCACCUCGACCAAGUCGGCGUACACACCCCACUCGCAAAAUGCCGCCAGUGCUGAUCCCGUUGAGAAUGGCACGGGAAGCACUCUCUUCUCCUCUCCGGCAUCCAAGACGUUCUGAAUGAACUGCUGCAUGAGAAUCACGUCACCGUUUAUAUCAACAAGAUGUUUGAACAUUCCGUUAUACAGUUCACGGAAUCCCGGCCAUCCUCGGAAGUCGUCGAGGCAGAGUAUGACUGUGUCGAGAUCGCGUGUGAGGUUAGCCAUGUGAAGAGCCGAUGCGCCCAAGAACGUUCCGACUUCGAUAAUGGUCUUGGGUUGUAUAGACUCCACGAGUUCGGAGAAGACGGUUGCGGUUGAACCCCAUCCCCGGACACGGCGAGUGAGCAGUGCUGGUGCUACGUGCG